AGUCGGGGCGGCUCAAGACGGCACAAAGUGCAAAAGUAGUCGAAGAGGCAAUCUGAUUCGUUUGCAUUGCAUCAAUUAUUCUUGCCGUUUCUGAGACCGCCUCUAGUGCCAACAUUCAAUAUCCACUUGUUCGGAUUGAAAACGU
Non-coding RNA from Caenorhabditis elegans, 145 nucleotides. Lineage: Eukaryota; Metazoa; Nematoda; Chromadorea; Rhabditida; Rhabditidae. The record is from Ensembl.